RNAcentral lists this non-coding RNA (31 nucleotides) under Rattus norvegicus (Norway rat). Lineage: Eukaryota; Metazoa; Chordata; Mammalia; Rodentia; Muridae. The record is from RNAcentral.
GUGCUGUAGACCUGUUUUCCUCUCUUUCAGU